Molecule: long non-coding RNA, 3666 nt
Filed under: Selaginella moellendorffii
Lineage: Eukaryota; Viridiplantae; Streptophyta; Lycopodiopsida; Selaginellales; Selaginellaceae
Description: long non-coding RNA (SMOE_LNC000097)
Source: RNAcentral
UUGAGGAUGCUGGAUUGAGCUCUAUUGAGUGGAUCCCAGGCAAGCCUGAGGAGCUUUCAAGAAUCUAAUCUGCAAUGCAAGGGCAGUAUCAAGCAGACAACGACGUUCUGGUGAUAAGUCUUUCACGUCCCGGAUAAAGCUGGCCGAUGGAGAUAGAUACCGAGACGUGGAACCAGAAUAGGCCGUAAGUUCGGAACUCCCAACCACAGACGAGCCUCUUGGACACCGGGAGAGCCAAGUUGGUGGAGUUGCUAUAAGUGUACUGGCAGCCCCCUCGAGCUUGAAACUUGUGGAAGUAUUUCCGACCCGAGAAAUGUUGCUGCUGCUCAUCGUUGAAUAAUCCGCCAACCGUGGAAGUAAUGGUGUUCACGGUGUUCUUAGCAACGGAACAGAAGAAGGUUGAAUUCCCAAUCGCUUCAGCUGCUUCUUCUGGAAACAAUUCAAUUUUAAGAUCAGUCGGAGAGCACGAAAGGAAAGGAAAAUCCGGGAGAACGGCUCAGUCUUGAACUCCUGGCAGCAGCAGCCUGACGGGAAGAAAUAGAGGUGUAGUCUCAGCCCCAUUUCCUGCCACCGAGAGUGGCGCUCUGUCAUCGGUCCUCCACACGUAUUUCUUCUGCGAGCUGUACCACAACACUUGCCCAAACUCGUGCUCCCGAGCCAGCCUCAAGAAGUUGUCCUCCAGCGACGCAUCGUCCGCCACCGACAGCGUCACAGACCUCUUCGUCAUGGACCGUACAGAGGCCGGGACGACGAUUCUCAUGGACACGAGGUACUCGUAAGUUCCUCCUCCGCGACUCCACAGGCUGCUGCCGUGAGCCCCCGUGCUCACCAUGCCCGCUGGCGGGUGCAAAGUCACGCCUUGCACCGCCAGGAGAUCCAUGAGCUCGCCAAGCAUGAUUCCAGGAGGCGUGGAGGCCGUCAUGGAGCUCUUGUCGACGACGACGCUCGAGAUGGAGUUGAAGCUAGCGGUGCUGAUGACAACUUCCCCUGUGUCGGAUCCGGAGUUUGGACACGCGAAUUUGGUCAUGGUAUGUGCCUCCCUGCUUACCACUUUGAUCUUCUUGCGAUCCGGCCAUGGACCUCUGAGAUAGUUCUUGAGCUCGCAGCCACUCGCAUCGCAUUCUACUAGAGAUCUUACAAGAGCAAGUCGAGAGAAAAGAGGAGGGUGGACGAACUUCAUGAUCUCGAGCACUUCCGGUGAAAACUCUGUCAAUAAAAUGAUUUAAUAAUUAGUAUAUUGGUGGGUUGACAAACCCUAGGUAUGAAAGCAAGAAUCAGUCAAUGAAGGCCAUUUGUCUUUGCGGCCUAUCUAUCACUGGGAGCACCAAUCCUUCAUAAGGCUUGUAAAUUCCAUCCUGUCACUUCCCGCAAGUAAAGCAAUGCAGUCAAGGAGAAAGAAAGAUUUGAGUCUUGAUCAAACUCCACAGUAGAGAAAAAUUGAAUUUCAUAGUUAAUGAAAUUCAAAUGAAACUCUUGUAAAAUCUUGAAAAUUCAAAAGAGAUUCUUAAUUACUGAAUUAGUAUUCUCCUAGAAAUGCUAGUGCUUAUCAGCGUAGUAAUUUCAAGUAACUGGUAGUGCCUUUAUUUGGCACAUAUCGCUUUGCCACAUAAGCUGAGAUUGCCAAUAAAAAUUUCAUAUAAUUAUAUCAUAUUAAUAAUUCACAAUGAGUGAAAUCUCAAAUUUCUCUAGUGCAAACAAAGAAGAGGAACAUCAUCUCCUGCCCAGCUAAGACAACCUAUCAAGCCUUGGAGAUAAAACUCCAUAGUUCUACAGGUCAUUAAAGUUUUGAUGGGUGUGCAAUUUAAAGGUUCUUUUAUCCCACUCUAAAAACACUUUAAAAAUCGGUCAUUAGGGCACUAAUUUAUGUGUUUUUAAGGGUUUCCAAAAAAAAUCAAAAUUAGGAUAAUAUUUUUAGUUAUUUCUUUUUAUUCCUUUUUUGAUAAUUUGGUACAUUGAUUUAAAUUUUUCCUCAACAAAAUAAUGAAUAUUCUAAAUAAACCCUUAAGUUGUACACACUCACAAACUUUUAGUAUAAACCCCAGAUAUUCAGGGAGUCUGGGAGAAUGCUCGCUCGAUGUUUUUGUUUGAUCUAAGUGAGAUACUUGAUUGGCUUGAGCUGAAGCUAAUUCAUAUCUAUUUAAAACUGUUUAAAUCCACAUAUAAGUUGAUUGUGGGUUCAACUCCACCUUCUUCUUGACUUACCCUCAUUGAUGCUGGCCUGCUACCUUAGCCUCCUCCUCUUCCUUUCAAUCUACAGCAAAGAAAAACUCUAGGUAGCUUAUUGAUAGAUAUAAAUUUUAAAUAUUUAUCUGGCUUAGAUAUAAACUAUUAAGAAUUUCUCAAAGCUGUUAACAAGGUUAUAGGAGGAAUAAGAGCUAGAUUAGGCCCAAGAGAGACAUUGUGUCACGGGCAACAAUGAUCGCCCAAGCUGGAGUAUUUGGCUGCUGCAAGGGAGAUCUUCAAUGUGAGAGGACGACAGCCUAGCUCAAGAACAGGAGGAUGAUCAAGGGCAGAGAUUUUUUUCUUGAAGAGGAUGCCAGAGAUGGACGACUUCCAUGGUUAGAGACGUAUUGCAAAGGGCAGGCUCAACGAAGAAGAGGAACUGUCUGGAAUAAUUUUUUUGACUUUUUAACUUGUUGACCUUCUUGAUUCUUUAAAAAAUAUAAUCCGAUAUUUUAAGUAUAUUCCUUACACCGAGCACAUCUCAGAACUGAACAACAAACAAGGAGAAAUGAUGCAUCUUAACUUCUAUUGCUACAGACUCUUGCCUCGCGAUAAACAAGUCCUGGUCUGCAAAAAUAUCCUUUGUCUGGAGCACAGUGCCUAGCUUCGCUGCAAACACACAGUCCUUCCAAAGCACAUCCAUCCUUUGCUGUCACCGGACUUCCUCGGAUUCCCAGCACAGCAUCAGACCAAUCACUUGAAAACCAUCCUUGUGGAUCCAACUUCCUCCUAGCCGAAAGAAACUUAGACAAAUUCUUCGUCUUCCUUCCAAUGUCCCGGAAUGCAUGCGGCCUGUUCUUCCCGAAGUGUGGCUUCCCGUUAUACUUAAACAGUAAAAGCUGCUCUAUCUCCUCAGCAACGUCCUCGUACGUCUGUGGUUCCCCUGGCCUCCUGUCUCGGAACGUCAUGAACUCAAUAUUUGCUGCGUCAGUCUUCGGUCCAAGGUAAGCCUGAGAAGCUUUCAAGUAUCUAAUCAGUAAUGUCAUGGAAGUGUCAAGCAGACAGAGACGUUCUGGCGACAAGUCUCUCAACUGCUUCACGUCUCGGAUAAAGUUGCCAACAUCGCUGAUGGAGAUAGCUAUAGAGACGUGGAACCAGAAUUGGCCAUAAGCUCGGAAGUCCCAGCCGCAGACGAGCCUCUCAGACUCCGGAAGAGCCAAAUUGGUGGAGUUGCUGUAGGUGUACUGGCAGCCUCCGCGAGCUUGAAACUUGUGGAAGUAUCCGACCACAGGGAAUCCCGAGAAAUGUUGCUGCCGCUCAUCAUUGAAUAAUCCGCCACCCGUGGAAGUAACGGUGUUCACGGUGUUCUUAGCAACGGAGCAGAAGAAGGUUGAAUUCCCAAUCGCUUCAGCUGCUUCUUCUGGAAAACAUUCAAUUUUAAGAUCAGUCGGAGAGCACGAAAGGAAAGGAAAAUCCGGGACAGGGAUAUAGAAGACUGACGGC